Solanum dulcamara is the source of this 471-nucleotide long non-coding RNA. RefSeq lists it as uncharacterized. Lineage: Eukaryota; Viridiplantae; Streptophyta; Magnoliopsida; Solanales; Solanaceae. The transcript has 2 exons. The record is from RefSeq and is a predicted model, not a curated record.
GUAAAUUGAUGGUUCUCUUGCUCAUUGCAGUCAGUGUCAACUGGAAAUACAGAAACUUUACGCAACCCCCCUUUCAUCUAAUGUUUUGCCUAUAGAAGAUGAUUUCCUGGAUAACAAAUUCAGUGCUUCGGUUAUAAAUCAGACUGCCUAUUAAGUAUGCUAACACUGUUGAUUUUUGACACUAUUCUAGAGACUAAAGAGCUUUUGUGGAUACUUUUUUAUGUAUCCUUGUUUAAAUGUGGAAAACACAGCUUGAUAGGCAAUUCUUCUCAGGUGCAAUUAUGUUGGGAGAUGCAUUGUUCUUCAGAAUGUUCUCUCAUUGUUAGGAGUUGAAGCAGACUUCAUUGUGUUUUCAAGUGAGUGAAAAAUUACAUUUCAGGAAAUAUUUGUGUUGGAACUGCAUUUGAUGGUAUGUUUAAGAGUACUAUAUCAUAUUAUACUAAAAUUGUGAAGCUCCAAUCUUCAAAGUUG